AACCACUCUGAAUGAUGGGGCUCUAGCUACCAACUCCUUGGUGCUAGAACCCCAUUGCCGGGUUGUCCAAAUUUUUGGACAACCCAGCUUUUAAAAAUCGAACCUGCAAAACCAAAGGGGGGACAGAUCAAAAAAAUCCUAAAUCUACCAGCAGCAAGCUACCUAGCCACAAAAAAAAAAAAAAAAAGCAAUCCGAAAAGAACCAAAGAAAAGAAAGCCAAAGACCAAUGUUUGAACAAAGGGGGUUCGGGUAGUGGGUGAAAGGAGGUGAGUUGAUCUGUGUGGUUGUGUUCGGCUGGCGGUGAAUAGAGAAGAGGGUCCGGUCACAGGGGAGGUGUCGGCGCAGGGAAGGAAUCGGUGAAGGGAAACCGAUCGGAGGCAAUUAAGGGGUGUAGAUCUAGAUCCGAUUAAUGGGUUUUUGAGAGUAAUAUGGGGAUCUCGAGGUUAGAGAGAGUGUGAGGAAGCCGACGAGAGAUUUGGGAGAAGAGAGGGGAGGACGCCGACGCCGACGAAGAGAGGAAAGUUUUUUUAGAGAGAAGGCAGAGAGAAUGGCCGACUAAAGAGAGAAAAUGAAAGUUGAAAAUGAAUUGGAAAAAGCUAAAAAGGGGUUUUUAUACCCAGGUGUAAGAAAGCAAAACGGUGUCGUUUUAGUGGAGUGGCAGAAGUUGGAAGGUCUAGGCCCAAACGACGUCGUUUUGAGCGGCUCUACAGGCACCAAAUGGUGCGUUUUGAAUUCUGCCUUAUGGACCUCAGGAAGCAGAUCGGGUGUAGCAGAUUUGGGCUUCUGCGGGCCAUCAGGCUGGGCUAAUCCGAGCCCAAAAAGGUAUAACCCAUCUUCUUUGGUUUGGGCUUGUCUCAAUUAAUUUUGGGUUAGCCCAUUUGGUUAAAUAAAUUACAUUUUUAUUGUUAUGAUUUAAACCAUAUUAGGAAAAGUCAUUUAUAUAAAUGUAUAUAUAUAUUAUGGAUGCUUCUUUUAAUGCUAAAAAAUCAAAAAAUAAUAAUGAUAGUAAUAAUAAAAAAUAAUAGUAAAAUGCAUGGUUUAAAAAAAUUAAAAUAAGUAAAUAAAUAGAAAGAAAAUUCGUAAUAGAUUUAGUUUUUUUUUUAAGAAAUAAGUAUAGUAAUAAUGGUAAGUAAAUGAGAAGAAUAACAAAGGAAAAAUGAAAUGAUCGUUUGAAAAAUUUCACCUAAGAGAGGUAAAGAGUUACCUUUUCUAAGUGGAUUUCUUUUGAAUACGAAGCACGAGACGGAUUUUCACCGAAGCGUCGAGAUAAAUCCAAACUCUAAACUUCAAUACCCGUUAACUCGAAUAAUCGUCGCUAAAAUAAUAAAGAAAAAUAAAUCUACAUAAUGAUACAUUUAAAUCUAAGUUAGUGUAAUUAUUUAAUCAGCAAAUAAAUAUCAUUAAAAAAUUUUUUAAGUUAACCAUUAAUUAAUUGUUUAUUCGACAAGUUAUAUAAUCAAGUUAAAUGUUAAUCAACAAUGUUAAUUAAAAGAUAUGGAUCUAAAUAGAAAAUAAAAAAUUAAAAAAUAAUAAUAAUAAUAAACUAAAUAAAUAAUCCAUGAAAAAAAAUGACAAAAUAAAUAUAUAAAUAAGGUGAUAAAUUAUUAAACAUAUAAUCGGAUGAAUUAUGAACCGCUUAAGUCAAUAAACGCGUGCGUGUAGACAUCAUCACUUUAUUCUGUCAUAGCAUGCCACAUUUAUCUUGCAAAUGGUGCGAGAGUUCCGAUGAUGGGAUUUCCCCGAAGAGCUUGUAGAGACAAGUUCUUCCGGGGAUAUCUCUAAGUAAGGAGAAUUUCGAGACUUGACCAAAACGUUGGGAUGGUCUUCAAAUAAUUUUUCAAUAAAAGAUUACCGACCUCAUUAUUUAAAAUAAACGAGUCAUGACAUCAUUUUACGCUUACAUCACGUGCAUACGUAAAACCAAAUAAAAGAUUCAAGCAGUCAGUUUAAUAAAAAUUUAGUUAAUAAGUAGGGAAUAAAUCAAAAGUAGGCUAUAAUAGGAUAACUUAAGAUUAAAUGGUACCGUUCGUGGAACGAGCGCCACGGAGGUGCUAACCCUUCUCCGUGCGUAUCCGCACUCCCGAACCCAUCUCUAAAAAACGUGGAUCAGUUUUCGUUUUUUCGACGGACCUAAAAUUAAUUUAGGACUUUGUCGAUUAGAAUCGAGUUAAUAGGUGACCAAUCACACCUAGAUAAAAAAAAAGAUUGGUGGCGACUCCUAAACCGAUUUAUUUUCGCCAACGUCUAGAGGACGGGUUCCCGGAUCCACACGUUAUGACAGAUGGCGACUCCACUAGGGAGCAAUUUAAUUUACGUCGACGUCUAGCGGUCGGGUUCUCGGACCCGCAUGUUACUACAGAUGGCGACUCCAUUGUGGAGCAAUUUAAUUUUCGUCGGCGUCUAGCGAUCGGGUUUUCGAACCCACACAUUACAACAGAUGGCGACUCCACUGGGGACAUCGAGUCGAGCCAUUAAUUAAUCAUAAGUUAUCUUAAGCCUUAAAUAAUUUGUUGUUUUCCCUAGCAUCAAUUUUGCAUAUUUUUGUUUAAUGCAUUCAGUUAUUUUGUUAUUUUUACUUCACUAUUUUUAAUAACUGCGAAAAAUUUAGGAUAAGGGGAGUGAAAUUAUUGGUCCGAGGUCAGUAUAUUCCUUCUCACACACUACACAUCUUGCAUUCAUGCAUAAGCCUUCCACCCGGGUUUUGUCCUUAAUUAGGAGGGAGUUAAGUAGCUACGCUCUCGUGAGGUGAUAACCUCCGCAUGGGCUAGUGAAGACUCCCACUCAGAUCGAACUUAGUCCGUUUGAAGCCUAUAAUGGGUGAGGCCCGAGAUGCCUUACUAGUCCGUGUGGGCGACAGUGAGGAGCGAUUUGGGAACCUUUAGCUCUAUUUUCAACCCAAACUCAGCAUGUUAAAUACCGAGAGUUACCUUUGCUUAGGUAGAGCUUCACCCGUGAGAAUAUACCUUUUGACUAGGUACACAUGAAGGAAUUUUCAUAAUCCCCUUAUUCUAAAUUCUUCUCCGUGAAGUAACAAAGGUAUCGUGUUAUUAAUUAUUCAUCUUUUGGAAUUCUUGUUUACGGUACUGACUUAAACUUUUUGCCAUAUGCAUGUUUGCAUCAUAAUUUUGCAUAUAGGAAAAGUAUUUGUCACUUGACAACCGUUGACAGAGUAGAUCCAAUUGCAUACAUGGAGUCAUCAUGGCCACCUUCAGGCUACGAUGGAAUAUACGAAGUGACUCAGCACAUGGUGAGUGCCAAGCAAAGUGAGGGAGAUUGCUUGUCAGAGCAUCAUAUCUCAUCACUGCCUGAUAGGGUCCACCUUGAUCUUAAACAAAAUGACUUCACCGAUUUGCUCGACAUAUGGGAUAAGUGGGGGGCCACCACUCGGGCGAAUUUCUAUAGAAAAUAUGGCCACAUAGCUCAACUCCUUAAGGUCUAGAUUGAUGAACAGAUAUUGAAGGCCAUUGUGCAAUUUUGGGAUCCGUCGUAUAGGUGUUUCGUGUUUAAUAAGGUGGAUAUGGUCUCCACAAUCGAAGAGUACUCGACUCUCCUACAAAUUAACCUUGAUAAUUCGAACAAGAUAUAUUGGAGAGGACAAAAGACCGGACACAGGCGAAAGUUAGCCAAGAUGAUGGGUAUUACCCCGACAGAAGUCGACCAAAACCUAAGAAAAAAAGGGGACAAUGAAUGUAUCCCAUGGAGUUUCCUACGUAGCUAUAUCAUGAAGCAUCGGGACACCGAGCAAGGAUAGCUUGUGAUGGCCUUGAAAAUUUAUGGGCUAGUGAUCUUUCCCAAAGUCUUGGGACAUAUAGAGGUCGAAAUUAUAGAUUUCUUCGAGCAAGUCAUCAACAAGGCCAACCCUUCACCCUUUAUUCUAGCAAAAACUCUCAGAUCACUGAAUUAUUGUCGAAGAAAGGGGGAAGGACGAUUUGUGGGAUGUGCACAGCUUCUUUCCAUCUGGAUAGUAAGUCACUUUGAAUGCAAGGUCGAGAAGUUCAAGAAGCCAUUUCAUCCGCGAACUAGCCCUAUCAGAGAAUUUUAUGAGAGUGAAUGGCCAGAAAAUAGGACUAAGGAGCAAUGGAUCUCUAGACUUCGGGAACUCAUGAGUGUGGAAGUAACAUGGAGAGCUCCGUGGAUGCCGCAUCACCCGAUCUUGUACAAAAGCGGAAAUGAAUCGUGGGUAACAUUAAUAGGGCCAUGGGGAGCAAUCAGCUACGCCCCAAUUAUGGUGAGAAGAUAAUUUGGGUCAGAGCAGUUUGUGCCGAUGACACACCGACUUAAUACUUUGGAGUUUGCUUAUGGAGAGUCUGAUUUUCUGAAAAGGAUUGAGGAAAUUGCACAAGCCUGGAAGAAAACUAGCCGAGUUGACCAAGGGAGGUACACCGAUGAAGUGACUACCGGAUAUCAGAUAUGGCAUGACCAACGAGUUAAGGAUGUGGUAUAUCCGAAAGAAGAUGCACUGCGUGACCCAGUUGAUCCAGAACCACGAGACGCUUUGCUCGAAAGUGAGUUGGCUCGAAAAAAAUCUGAAGCUAAAAAUGCCAGUUGGAGGCAAUAGUAUGAAGACCUCCAAAAAAAGUGUGAGAAAAUGAAAAGAAAAGUAAUUGAACAAAGAAAGAAGGUCCGAAAAAUAAAAGGGAAGUAUGAGAGCCUGAAUGAUAAGUUUUCUACCACAACUAGUGAACUUCAAAGGGAAAUACAAGUGAAAGAAAAUUGAGGCAAUGAACUUCAAGCGUACAAUGAUGGACUAAUAAAUCAAGUGCGAUUUCAACAAGAGUCCAUCCAAUUACUAAGACAGGAGUGUGAAGAGCUCGAAGGGGCCAUGACGACUUAUCAACAAGAAUAUGAACGCCUCAAGCAAUAGAGCACCAGAAUUCAAGAGUGGGGUGAAUCCUACAGACAAGCUUAUACAGAGAAACACGACCAGAUGGAUUACUUGGUUUGGCAAAUGAGGGAGGUGGCUUACAAGGCGAGAAGCAUGGCUUGGAAGACGAACAUUUUAAGGAGCCAUGUCUUUCCAGUUGGAAAACAAGAGCAACAGUUGAUUAAGUAUUUAGAUGAGGUGUAUAGCCAUUAUAAUAAAAUUGACGAACAUUUCUAGAUGACUCCUGAGUUGUAAUCAAAGACAAUAUCUUAUGCAAUGGAUGACUUUGUUGUUGGGUGUCAUGUGACGAAUACUUUUAGUACAUAAUCAUUCAUACAUGCAUAAAUCAUCAUUUCAUGACAAUAAGUAUUUUCAUCUAAAAAUAAAGAUAAUAGGUUCAUUUUUUCAUUCAUACAUCGAAUAUGCAUCUAAUUCAUGUUUAUGAUUACAAUAAGGUUCCAAAAAUAGCUCGACCACCUAAGCCAAGUGACCAACGUGUUCAUAAUAUGCGUCAACGAGCAAGGAUCAUGGAAGAAGAACAAAGAGAGCGAAUGGAUAGAAUGGAAAAAGUUCAAGAAGAAAUGAGAGAACAGUUAGCAAAGAUGAUGGAAUUGAUGACAAGCUUAAGUAAAGGAAAAAGAGUUGCGGAAGAGUCAGCUCCGUCAAAAAACCCACCAGCUCAAGACACUGGAAACCAAAGGGAUGAUCCACCUUAUCCCCCAAGGUUCACUCCACCACAUGCCCAAACCUCUCAAAGGGUCCACCCUCAAGCAAUGUCAUCCGUUUAUUACAAUGCACCACCCCCGAUGGGCCAUCAACCGACUCAUAGGCAAUUCAGGCCGUAUUCUGGGAUAAAUCCUGCUGAACCAAUACACAUCCCAGAUUUAGACGAUCCAAAAGAGCAAGAGAAACUAAGAAAAGAGUCAUCACAAAUAGGAGAAAAUGAAAAAGAUAAAAAAAAAGUACGAUUUGUUGGAAGAGUGUCUUCGUGCUAUCGAAGGAGUUGAUAGGUUCGGUAUCAUGGAUGCAACCAAGCUAUGCUUAGUGCCUGAUGUACUGAUCCGGGCCAAGUUCAAAGUUUCGAAAUUUGAAAAGUACGAUGGAACAAAGUGUCCUAUGGCACAUAUCACUAUGUAUUGUCGGAAGAUGGCUGCACAGUCUCAUGAUGACAAGCUAUUGAUCCAUUUUUUCCAAGACAGCUUGACUAGGUCAGCUGCUCGGUGGUACGUACAGUUAGACCGAAAUCAUAUUAAGACUUGGAAAGACCUAGCAAGAGCCUUCAUAGCCCAAUACAAGCAUGUGGUUGAAUUAGCCCCUGAUCAGUUGUCAUUGCAGACCAUGGAAAAGAAACAAAGCGAGAACUUCAAGGAAUACGCCCAAAGGUGGAGAGAUACAGCAACGCAAGUUCAGCCACCUCUCACUGAUAAGGAAAUGACUGUGUUGUUCAUAAACACACUCCGAGCUCCAUUCUAUGAGCGCUUGAUCGGCAAUGCCACAAAAAACUUUACGGAUUUGGUCUUAUCGGGAGAAAUAAUAGAAGGAGCUAUCAAAAGUGAAAAAAUUGACGGGCUUGAAGUUGCUAGCUCAAAGAAAGGGAAUACGCCCAAAAAAAAAAGUAAGGGAUGUGCAAACAGUCGCUCACGACAGCCAACAAGCCCACAACUUUAACCCAUAUUACCCGUACCCCCCAUACCAACCCUUUUAUCCAAACAUAGGCAACAUCACACAAAACUCAUAUGUGUACCAACCUGCCCCACAGCCAACGUUUCAGACCAAUGUUCUUCCAUAAGCUCCACCACCAAGAUCGAUAGCUUCAACCAAUAAUUCUGGUCAUGGUCAAAGAGGACCUAAAACUAUCCUAGAAAAAUCAAAGUUUGAUCCUAUUCUAGUCCCUUACACUACAUUGUUGCCACAACUCAUAGAAAAUCGACUCCUUGCUCGAACCCCUUUAGAACCACUCCGACCACCUUUCCUGAAAUGGUCUGACCCGAAUGCGCAUUGUGAUUACCAUUUUGAAAUUCAAGGUCACUCCAUCGAGAAUUGUACUGCUUUAAAACAUAAAGUCCAAGCGCUCAUUAAGACAGGACUUUUAAAUUUUGCCAAAAAGAAUAGCUCAAGUGUUGAUGGGAAUCCUUUACCUAACCAUGGAAGACCGACAGUGAACGUCAUACAUGAAGGGAUGAUUCGAAAGGUGAAAAAGAGUAUUGAUGAGAUUCAAACGUCAAUGGAUAAAGUGUUUGAGGCGUUGUCCAAAAUAAAUGCCAUCACUCCAGAACCCAUAGACACAAAGGAAUUGGGGCAUGAUCUCGCUUAUUUUUGCAAAUUUUAUAUGGGGGCAAUUGGGCAUUCCAUUCAAAAUUGUGAUAGCUUUUGUUGUAAGUUGCAAGAAUUGAUGGAUUCAUCGGUAAUUGAGUUUUAUGAAGAAGUCAAAGAGAAUUUGGUCGGAACCAUAAAUGAAGACACCCCAGCUGAAGUGGCAUCAAGUUCAUUUGGGGUGAACAAACUUAAACCUCUCACCAUCUUCUAUGAAGAAAACAGGAGCCCGAUGAAUGAUACAUCCCCUAUUAUGAUCAGAAGUGGUAUCACCAUCGAAGUCCCCAGCCCGUUCCUUUACAAGAGCGAUAAGGCUAUCCCGUGAAAUUAUGAGUGUAAUAUUUUGGGCACAACUUCAUCCGCCCCCAAGCAUCUUUUGAAGAUCUAACUAGUGUGGGGGGUAUAACACAAAGUGGGCAAUGUUAUUCCCCCGAGAUAGCGAAAAUAGUUAGAAAAGGGAAACCCGCACAGGGAGAGGGAGGCCCAAAGGAAGCAGAUACCUUUUCCAAGGACCAAGUUGUCGAAUCUGUGGUUGCUCCGAACAAUGAGGUCAAAAGACCUGUUACCGAAAAAAAAGCUGGUGAAUUUCUCAAGUUUAUCAAACACAGUGAAUACAGUGUGGUAGAACAAUUAACCAGAAUGCCUGCUCGCAUCUCACUGUUGUCUUUGCUUUUGAAUUCGAAAGCACACAGGAACGCACUGCUUAAAGUCUUGAACCAAGCUUAUGUGGCACAAGAUAUAUCAGUGAAAAAGUUGGACCACAUCGUGGGGAACAUUACAGUGGGGAACUUCAUUGCCUUUAAUGAUGAAGAAAUUCCAUCGAGUGGUCAGGGAAGUAACAAAGCUCUGCACAUUACCAUCAAAUGCAAAGACCAUGCCGUACUUAGGGUCUUGGUCGACAAUGGUUUAGCUUUAAAUGUCAUGCCUCGCUUUACCUUAACCAAGUUGCCAAUAGAUGUAUCUUAUAUGAAAAUCAGCCACAUGGUUGUAAGGGCUUUCGAUGGGACUACAAGGGAGGUGGUAGAGGACAUUGAAUUACCAAUAAAAAUUAGCCCUUGCAUUUUUGAGGUCCAAUUUCAGGUCAUGGACAUUGCACCGUCUUACAAUUGCUUAUUAGGACAUCCAUGGAUUCAUAUGGCGGGAGCCAUACCAUCUUCCCUUCAUCAAAAAGUUAAAUUCAUAGUUGAGGGCCAAUUGAUAAAUGUAUCUGCAGAGGAAGACAUAUUGGCUAUUCAACCAUCAUCUACUCCUUAUGUAGAGGCGACAGAAGAGUCCCAAAAUGCUCUUUCAGAUCUUUUGAAUUUGUUAAUGCUACUUCUGUGGGAGAAAGAGAAGUGAUACCAACUCCUCGUUUGUCAAUAGCAACUAAAAUGGGGGUUAAGCAGACAGUGGGUAAAGGAUGCCGUGUCGGUUUGCGGUUAGGGAAGCAUUUGCAAGGAAUUGGCUAUCCUUUGACUCCAAUCAAGAAUGAGGAAAGGUUUGGUUUGGGGUAUAAACCUACCAAAGAAGAUAGAAGGAAAUUGACAGCUCGAAAGAAGAUUAAAAAUAUGGCUCAGCUUGAGGGAAAGGAAGAAGAAUUUGGGAAACGGACAAUUUCGCACUUAUAUGAGACUUUUCGCUCUGCAAGUUUCAUUCAUCCCGAAGCACCAACAAAGGUCAAUCAGGUUCUACGGAUGUUUGAUGAGCUACCAAUCUAUAUGAUCAAAGAUGAAGAACCUAACGAGAAGAUCCCUGUGGUGUAUCCAGUACUGCCGGGAGAGGAGUUAAGCAAUUGGACAGCCACGAAAUUGCCUAUCAUCUUUAAGUCUUCAGAAAUGUAAUGAACAAUUUUAUCUAAAUGCCUAUGCCCAAGGGUGUUAAGAGUAAUUUCUUGUUUAAGUAGGGCUUUCUGUUACCUUCAUCAUUUAAAUAAAUGACAAUGCAUAAUGUGUUUCAUAAUUCAUCAAUUUUUUUGCAUAUUUCCUUUCAUCUAUUCUUUUAGCCAAAUAAAUACUUACCCAUACACGCGUUAAAUUUUACCUGUUUGUAGGUCUUUAAAUAAUGAACACGAAGACAAUGAUUUGAAUAUCAAUUUUGAGAUGAUUCCGAACGUUGAUGAAUUGAAAAAUGAAAAGGAGGUGGAUGACUAUGGCUUACCCCCUGAUUUGUCGAGAAUGUUGAAACAGGAGGAAAGGGAGAUUUUACCUCAUUAGGAAUUCACAGAAAUAAUCAACCUCGAAAAUGGGGAAGAAAAGAAAAAGGUUAAGAUUGGCACCUCGCUGUCAUCUAAUGAGCGACAGAAGCUAGAAAAACUGCUCCGUGAAUAUGUGGAUGUGUUUACUUGGUCAUAUCAAGACAUGUCAGGUCCCAAUACUGACAUUGUCGUCCAUAAGUUGCCUUUGAGAUCGGACUGCAAGCCUAUUAAACAGAAGUUAAGAAGGAUGAAACUAGAAAUGUUGUUGAAGAUUAAAGAAGAAGUAAAAAAGCAAUUUGAUGUUGGAUUCUUAGAGGUGGCUAAGUAUCCUAAAUGGGUGGCUAAUAUAGUUCCAAUUCCUAAGAAGGAUGAAAAAGUUCGAAUGUGCGUCGAUUACAGGGAUUUGAACAGAGCGAGCCCAAAGGAUAGCUUCCUUUUGCCACAUAUCGAUACUCUUGUGGACAACACAGCAAAGCAUACUUUGUUCUCAUUUAUGGAUGGUUUUUCUGGUUACAAUUAGAUCAAGAUGGCACCCAAAGAUAUGAAAAAAAUAACAUUCGUAACCAUGUGGGGAACAUUUUGUUACAAAGUAAUGCCAUUUGGAUUGAAGAAUGCAGGUGCCACUUACCAAAGGGCAAUGGUAGCUUUGUUUCACGAUAUGAUGGAUAAAGAGAUAGAAGUAUAUGUGGAUGACAUGAUCGUAAAAUCUCAUAGAGAAAAGGAUCAUACUAUCAAUCUCAAGAAGCUGUUCGAGAGAUUGCGAAAGUUUCAGCUCAAGUUGAAUCUUGCAAAAUGCACUUUUGGUGUAACUUUUGAGAAAUUGUUGAGGUUCAUAGUAAGUGAAAAAGGAAUUGAAGUAGACCCGGAUAAGAUACGAGCUCUUCAAGAGCUGCCACCUCCCAAAACACAAAAAGAAGUGAGAGAAUUUUUAGGGAGGUUGAAUUACAUUGCCCGAUUUAUAUCCCAACUCACCUGCAAAUGUGAUCCAAUCUUCAAGCUACUUAAAAAACGAGACCCAGGAGAGUGGAAUGAAGAAUGUCAAAUAGCCUUUGAUAAAAUCAAAGAAUAUCUCACAAAUCCACCGGUGUUGGUGCCACCGACGGUUGAAAAACCUCUUAUUUUGUAUUUGACUGUGAACAAGAAUUCUAUGGGAUGUGUACUGGGACAACAUGAUGGAACUGGAAAGAAAGAACAAGCCGUAUAUUACUUGAACAAGAAAUUCACGGAGUAUGAAUCCAAAUACUCUGCGCUGGAACAAAUGUGCUGUGCGUUAACAUGGACUGCCCAGAGGCUCAGACAAUAUAUGUUGUAUCACACAACAUGGUUGGUGGCAAAAUUAGAUCCCAUCAAGUAUAUUUUCGAAAAACCCUUCCUGUCUAGAAGAAUAGUUCGAUGGCAAGUGCUAUUGUCUGAGUAUGAUAUUGUGUAUGUGUCCCAAAAGUCAAUCAAAGGGAGCGCCAUCGCUGAUUUCCUCGCAGAUCAAGCUAAUGAGGAUUAUGAAUAUGUAAGUUUCGAUUUUCCAGAUGAAGAUUUGAUGGUCGUUUUGCACAUAGAAAAGGAUGUUCUCAAUGAAUUUAAUCUAUGGAAGAUGUAUUUUGAUGGAGCAUCCAAUGCUUUGGGGCACGAAAUUGGGGCAGUGUUGGUUUCUCCAAAUGAAAAGUACUAUCCGACCACAACGAGAUUGAAUUUCAAUUGUACUAAUAAUAUAGCUAAGUACGAGGCGUUGGUAAUGAGAUUACAAGCAGCAAUCGAAAUGAAGGCUGACGUGAUAGAUGUUUACGGAGAUUCGACUUUGGUAAUAUGUCAAAUGAGAGGCGAAUGGGAAACUAGAGAUUCUAAACUAGUACCAUAUAAAAAGUUGGUUACAGAAUUAAGCAAACAGUUCAAAGAAAUCAGCUUCAACCACUUGCCUCGAGAAGAAAAUCAGAUUGCUGAUGCUUUGGCCACUCUCACAGCAAUGUUCAGAAUAAAAGAAGCGACUGAUGUACGCCCUUUUGAUUUAGAAGUCCGUGAAGUCUCGCACACUGCUUGAAUGUUGAGGAAGAGGUUGAUAGUAAACCGUGGUAUCAUGAUAUCAUGCAAUACAUCAAGCAUCAGGUAUAUCCUGGGAAUAUCACGGACAAUGACAAGCAAACUCUUAGAAGAUUAGCAAUGGAUUUUUUCCUUAGCAGAGAAGUGCUCUACAAAAAGAGUCAAGAUCAAGUACUUUUGAGAUGUGUGGAUGUUACGGAAGCCAACAAAAUAAUGAAAGAAGUCCAUGAAGGAACUUGUGGAGCUCAUGCUAAUGGACAUAUGUUGGCUAGACAAAUUAUGAGAGCCGAUUAUUAUUGGUUGACGUUGGAAUCCGACUGCAUAAACUUUGCUCGAAAAUGCCACAAGUGUCAAGUUUACGCAGAUAGAAUCCAUGCUCCACCAGCCCCAUUGCACGUUUUCACAGCACCUUGGCCAUUUUCAAUAUGGGGAAUAGAUGUGAUUGGGCUCAUUACGCCAAAAGCCUCUAAUGGACAUUGAUUCAUAUUGGUGGCCAUUGAUUAUUUCACGAAAUGGGUAGAAACAGCUUCCUAUGCCAAUGUGACACAAAAUGUGGUGUGCAGGUUCAUCCAAAAGGAGAUCAUAUGUCGGUAUGGGCUUCUAAAAAGGAUCAUUACUGAUAACAUAAGCAAUUUGAAUGGUGCGAUGGUGAAGGACGUUUGCGCUAAAUUCAAUAUCAAACAUCAUAACUCGACAACUUACCGUCCGAAGAUGAACGGAGCGGUAGAGGCAGCCAACAAAAACAUCAAAAAGAUUGUCGAAAAGAUGACUGAAGUUUAUAAAGACUGGCAUGAGAAACUUCCUUUUUCCUUGCAUGCAUAUCGAACUUCUGUGCGUACCUCCACCGGAGCAACUCCGUACUCAUUAAUAUAUGAUAUAAAAGCAGUUCUACCUGUUGAAGUAGAAAUUCCAUCAUUGAGGGUGUUGAUGGAAACAGAAUUGGAAGAUACUGAGUGGGUCCGCUCUCGAUACGAGCAAUUGAACUUGAUUGAGGAAAAAAUGCUUGCGGCUCUUUGUCACGGUCAGAUGUACCAAUGAAGGAUGAUGCGAGCAUACGAGAAAAAAGUUCGUCCCAAGCAGUUUCGAGAAGGAGAGUUGGUUCUCAAGAGAAUACUCCCUAAUCAAACUGAUUUUCGGGGAAAGUGGAUGCCGAAUUGGGAAGGACCAUAUGUGGUAAAGAAGGCUUUUUCAGGAUGAGCUUUAAUUUUGACUGACAUGGAUGGAGAAGAUUUGCCUAAUCCGAUAAAUGCGGAUGCGGUGAAGAAGUACUAUGCUUAAAAAAAACGAAAGGGAUUCAUGCUGAAAACCCGAAAAGGGCAACUCGUAUCUAAAGGAGGAGGCUCAUGCUGAAAACCCGAAAAGAGUGGCUUGAGGUCGAAAAGCAGGAAGUUGGAGUGAAAUUUAAAGAUGUCAGCCUAAAUGGAGCACAAAAUUGAGGUAGAAAUACACUAUGAAUGGAGCUCCACAAUUUCGCAAAACAGUGAAAGUUAGGGAGUCUGCAAUCUACAUAUUUGCUCAAGGCAUCAAUCAAGGACAAUUCUUGAAAUCGAAUAAUAUAUUGUUUUCUCUGAAUGGUCUGAGUAUUCAUCACUUAAAAAUUUAAUGUUUGCUCUGUAAAUUCUCUUUGCCUUGAAUUAUUUGAUUUCUCAUAUAUGAAAUUCUCCUUCGCCUCUUUAUUUUAACCUUUUCGUUAUUUAUCAUCCCAUGAUUCACAUAGUGAUUGUCAUAGAAAUGAACGAUAACUGGUAAAAGAAAUAAACUAAUUAAGCAAGAAAUUAUACUCAUUGUUCAGCAAAAGACUUAAUGAUGAAGAAAAAGAAUGGCGGAGCCUUAAACUUGGGGCAAAGUCAAAUGUCAAAAGAAAAGGUGUUUAGGGAAAAUCCGGAGUUACCUAAAGCCUCUAGAAGAAAGGCACAAGACGAAGGUCAUUGAAAGCUACAGUGAAAAAAUCGGAUGAAGCAAGGAAAGGGUCUUGGAACCUUAAUGAAUCAUAAACAUGAAAACAUUUCAUCAUGUCAAUCAUGCAUACAUGCCUAGCCAUGCACCCGACAAGAAUCAAAAUUAAUUCAUGUCCCAAGCUUCGAAGGUAGAAAUUCACUCGACCUAAAGUGUUGAGAUUGUAAAACUUUGAUGGAAGGAUUUGAGUUUUUUCAUUUCAUAUUAAUCCAAUUAAGUUAGCAUUAAAGAAUUAAAUCGAACUUGUUGUGAGAUAGGUCGAGCCUAAAUUUAGUUUAGGAAUUUUAAUUUUGUUUAAAUCGAACCUGUUGUGAGAUAGGUCGAGCCUAGAUUAAGUCUAAGAAUUUUAAUUUUGCUUAAAUCGAACUUGUUAUGAGAUAGGUCGAGCCUAAAUUUAGUUUAGGAAUUUUAAUUUUGUUUAAAUCAAACCUGUUGUGAGAUAGAUCGAGCCUAGAUUAAGUUUAAGAAUUUUAAUUUUGUUUAAAUCGAACCUGUUAUGAGAUAGGUCGAGCCUAAAUUAAGUUUAAGAAUUUUAAUUUUUAAAUCGAACCUGUUGUGAGAUAGGUCGAGCCUAGAUUAAGUCUAGAAAUUUUAAUUUUGUUUAAAUCGAACCUGUUAUGAGAUAGGUCGAGCCUAAAUUUAGUUUAGGAAUUUCAAUUUUGUUUAAAUCGAAUAUGUUGUGAGAUAGGUCGAGUCUAGAUUAAAUCUAAAAAUUUUAAUCGAAUAUGGGUCAAGCCUAAAUCAAGUCUAGAAUUUUAAUUUUGUUUAAAUCGAACCUAUUGUGAGAUAGGUCGAGCCAAGAUUAAAUCUAGGAAUUUUAAUCGAAUUUGUUCUAAUAUGGGUCAAGCCUAGAUCGAGUCUAGAAAUUUCAUUUUUAUUUAAAUCGAACUUAUUUUGAGAUAAGUCGAGCCUAGAUCGAUUUGAUUAAAUCAAUUAGCUUCGAGAUAAGCCAAAUGUGGUGUCUACGUCUUUGCACUAUCCUUGAUUCUCAAGAAUGUACAAAGAGGGGCAACUAUAGACACCGAAAAAAAAAUAAAAAAAUUAUAAUAAAAUAAAAUAUAAAAUAAAAUAAUUAAAAAAAAAAAAGGAAUGGCAGGGCGUACGCCCGGCCAUCCCUUCCCUCAACCACCCUGAAUGAUGGGGCUCUAGCUACCAACUCCUUGGUGCCAGAACCCCAUUGCCGGGUUGUCCAAAUUUUUGGACAACCCAGCUUUUAAAAAUCGAACCUGUAAAACCAAAGAGGGGACAGAUAAAAAAAAUCCUAAAUCUACCAGCAGCAAGCUAUCUAGCCACACAAAAAAAAAUAAAAAAAAAAGCAAUCCGAAAAGAACCAAAGAAAAGAAAGCCAAAGACCAGUGCUUGAACAAAGGGGGUUCGAGUAGUGGGUGCAAGGAGGUGAGUUGAUCUGUGUGGUUGUGUUCGGCUGGCGGUGAAUAGAGAAGAGGGUCCGGUCGCAAGGGAAGUGUCGGCACAACGAAGGAAUCGGUGAAGGGAAACCGAUCGGAGGCGAUUAAGGGGUGUAGAUCUAGAUCCGAUUGAUAGGUUUUGGAGAGUAAUAUGGGG
RNAcentral lists this long non-coding RNA (14901 nucleotides) under Theobroma cacao (cacao). RNAcentral's name for it is "long non-coding RNA (TCAC_LNC001676)". Lineage: Eukaryota; Viridiplantae; Streptophyta; Magnoliopsida; Malvales; Malvaceae. The record is from RNAcentral.